This 818-nucleotide ribosomal RNA is filed under the name Wardomyces inflatus. RNAcentral's name for it is "LSU rRNA". It matches the Rfam family "Eukaryotic large subunit ribosomal RNA", at positions 74 to 918 of the family's 3401-position model. The record is from RNAcentral. Lineage: Eukaryota; Fungi; Ascomycota; Sordariomycetes; Microascales; Microascaceae.
AUUACCUCAGUAACGGCGAGUGAAGCGGUAACAGCUCAAAUUUGAAAUCUGGUCCCCUCUGGGGGCCCGAGUUGUAAUUUGAAGAGGAUGCUUUUGGCGAGGCGCCUUCCGAGUGCCCUGGAACGGGACGCCACAGAGGGUGAGAGCCCCGUAUGGUAGGACGCCGAGCCUCUGUAAAGCUCCUUCGACGAGUCGAGUAGUUUGGGAAUGCUGCUCAAAAUGGGAGGUAAACCCCUUCUAAAGCUAAAUAUUGGCCAGAGACCGAUAGCGCACAAGUAGAGUGAUCGAAAGAUGAAAAGCACUUUGAAAAGAGAGUUAAACAGCACGUGAAAUUGUUGAAAGGGAAGCGCUUGCGACCAGACUUGCGCCCGUCGGAUCAACCGUCCCUCGUGGGCGGCGCACUCCGGCGGGCUCAGGCCAGCAUCAGUUUUCCUGGGGGGAGAAAGGCGGUGGGAAUGUAGCUCUUCGGAGUGUUAUAGCCCUCCGCGUAAUACCCCCGGGGGGACUGAGGACCGCGCGAAAGCAAGGAUGCUGGCGUAAUGGUCGUCAGCGACCCGUCUUGAAACACGGACCAAGGAGUCGUCCUAAUAUGCGAGUGUACGGGUGUAAAACCCCUGCGCGUAAUGAAAGUGAACGGAGGUGAGAGCUUCGGCGCAUCAUCGACCGAUCCUGAUGUUCUCGGAUGGAUUUGAGUAAGAGCAUAUUGGGCCGGACCCGAAAGAAGGUGAACUAUGCCUGUAUAGGGUGAAGCCAGAGGAAACUCUGGUGGGAGGCUCGCAGCGGUUCUGACGUGCAAAUCGAUCGUCAAAUAAUGGCAU